AUGGAAGUCGACUGUUUGGAGCUAGUGAAGCUCUGGCAAUCUCGCCACAAUGCUCGUUCUAUUGUGGCUCCUUUACUUCUAGAAAUAGGAGAGCUAUGUAAUACUUUUAGUUCGUUUGAUAUCCAGCAUGUAAAUCGGUCGGCGAACCUCCCGGCGCAUCUGUGUGCUAAGCAUGCUUGCACAUUGAAUGCUACAGAGAGCUGGAUCGAUGAAACUCCUAGCUUCUUGGUGACCAGCCUACUGGCUGACUGUCCCAAGAAUGCGUUUAUUGAAUAA
RNAcentral lists this ribosomal RNA (276 nucleotides) under Triticum aestivum (bread wheat). RNAcentral's name for it is "partial small subunit ribosomal RNA". Lineage: Eukaryota; Viridiplantae; Streptophyta; Magnoliopsida; Poales; Poaceae. The record is from RNAcentral.